Molecule: Y RNA, 100 nt
Filed under: Pan paniscus (pygmy chimpanzee)
Lineage: Eukaryota; Metazoa; Chordata; Mammalia; Primates; Hominidae
Description: Y RNA (ENSPPAG00000008855.1)
Rfam family: Y RNA
About the family: Y RNAs are components of the Ro ribonucleoprotein particle (Ro RNP), in association with Ro60 and La proteins. The Y RNAs and Ro60 and La proteins are well conserved, but the function of the Ro RNP is not known. In humans the RNA component can be one of four small RNAs -- hY1, hY3, hY4 and hY5.
Source: Rfam by way of RNAcentral
GGCUGGUCUAGGUGAAGUGGUGUUACAGUAACUGAUCACCACUAGUUACAGAUUUCUUUGUUCCUUUUCCACUCCCACUGCUUCACGUGACUGGCCAAAA